UACGUAGGUGUCAAGCGUUGUCCGGAUUUAUUGGGCGUAAAGCGCCCGCAGGCGGCUUGCCAAGUUCGAUGUGAAAUCUCCCGGCUCAACUGGGAGGGUGCAUCGAAAACUGGCAGGCUUGAGGCAGGGAGAGGGAUGUGGAAUUCCAGGUGUAGUGGUGAAAUGCGCAGAUAUCAGGAAGAACACCCGUGGCGAAGGCGGCUCUCUGGGACGGUACUGACGCUGAGACGCGAAAGCGUGGGGAGCGAACAGG
RNAcentral lists this ribosomal RNA (253 nucleotides) under uncultured bacterium. RNAcentral describes it as "partial 16S ribosomal RNA". It matches the Rfam family "Bacterial small subunit ribosomal RNA", at positions 524 to 776 of the family's 1533-position model. The record is from RNAcentral.